RNAcentral lists this ribosomal RNA (253 nucleotides) under uncultured bacterium. RNAcentral describes it as "partial 16S ribosomal RNA". It matches the Rfam family "Bacterial small subunit ribosomal RNA", at positions 524 to 776 of the family's 1533-position model. The record is from RNAcentral.
UACGGAGGGGGCUAGCGUUGUUCGGAAUUACUGGGCGUAAAGCGCACGUAGGCGGCUUUGUAAGUUAGAGGUGAAAGCCCGGGGCUCAACUCCGGAAUUGCCUUUAAGACUGCAUCGCUAGAAUUGUGGAGAGGUAAGUGGAAUUCCGAGUGUAGAGGUGAAAUUCGUAGAUAUUUGGAAGAACACCAGUGGCGAAGGCGACUUACUGGACACAUAUUGACGCUGAGGUGCGAAAGCGUGGGGAGCAAACAGG